Molecule: ribosomal RNA, 276 nt
Filed under: uncultured prokaryote
Description: partial 16S ribosomal RNA
Rfam family: Bacterial small subunit ribosomal RNA
Source: RNAcentral
CACGUAGGAGGCAAACGUUAUCCGGAUUUACUGGGCGUAAAGCGCGUGUAGGUGGUUCUGUAAGUAGGGCGUGAAAGCUCCCGGCUCAACUGGGAGAGGCCGUUCUAAACUGCAGAGCUAGAGGAUGGUAGAGGGAGGUGGAAUUCCAGGUGUAGCGGUGGAAUGCGCAGAUAUCUGGAGGAACACCAGUGGCGAAGGCGGCCUCCUGGACCAUUCCUGACACUCAGACGCGAAAGCUAGGGUAGCAAACGGGGAUUAGAUACCCCUGUAGUCCCU